AUGACGAGACCCAAGCGAGCAGGAGGCAUUGGUUUCAGAGAUAGGCACCUAUUUAACUUACCCCUUCUUGCUAAACAAGGGUGGAGACUGCUGCAGAACCUGGACAGCCUGUGUGCAAGGGUAAUUAAAUCUAAGUACUACCCACACGGGAAUUUGAUUGACACUGUCUUUGCAGCGGAUGCGUCUCCAGUCUGGAGGGGUAUA
Molecule: ribosomal RNA, 204 nt
Filed under: Triticum aestivum (bread wheat)
Lineage: Eukaryota; Viridiplantae; Streptophyta; Magnoliopsida; Poales; Poaceae
Description: partial small subunit ribosomal RNA
Source: RNAcentral